Molecule: transfer RNA, 71 nt
Filed under: Paeniglutamicibacter cryotolerans
Lineage: Bacteria; Bacillati; Actinomycetota; Actinomycetes; Micrococcales; Micrococcaceae
Description: Arthrobacter cryotolerans tRNA
Rfam family: tRNA
About the family: Transfer RNA (tRNA) molecules are approximately 80 nucleotides in length.
Source: Rfam by way of RNAcentral
GGUGGGGUGGCCGAGAGGCUAGGCAACGGCCUGCAAAGCCGUGUACGCGGGUUCGAAUCCCGUCCCCACCU